Long non-coding RNA from Oncorhynchus tshawytscha (Chinook salmon), 1238 nucleotides. NCBI's taxonomy places the organism in Eukaryota, Metazoa, Chordata, Actinopteri, Salmoniformes, Salmonidae. The record is from Ensembl.
CAAAGUUUCAUCCAGUGUUUUAUUUAUUUGCAUUUAGCAAUAUUAUACAAAAAUCUUCAUCAGGUGGAAACUGUCAUAAUUUUCCUCUCAGCUCCCUGAAUAAUCAUGGGUACAUAGUCAAAAUUACAUUACUCUGAAUAAAACGUGUUUUUCAAGCAAAUAAAUGCACAAUAUAACUGCUGGUGUCACACACACCCAGACAUGAGUGGAUAGAGGGUCACAUUUAAAAGGUUGAAAUGCUGUUGCGCUAAUCAGAACACUCGUUCAAACAAAACGCUUAUAAACAACAAUAUUUGGGGGAGAAAAAUCAUCCUAUUGCUUUCUGAAAAACAAUAAUCGUACAAAGGAUAUUAUAAUCAGGACUCCCAGCCAGAGAACAGCGAGCGUGGAUACACCGUGGAUACACCAAACUGAACAAGUCACAAUAGUAUUACAAAUAAAAACUACUUUAACGUUAUCAAAUGCAGUUGGGAAGUGAGUAAAUCAAGUGAGCGAAUCAAGAUCUAGACGUUUGAGACGAGCAGGUUCCCGUGGCAACUAAUUUUUAAUUUUUUAAACGCUCUUUUCAGUAAGCUAAAUAUUAUAAUACACAUACGCUUUUAUCCAAACGACUUAGUCAUACGUGCAUCCAUAUUCUGAGCACAGGGAUCCUCCGCCAUCAGAAAAAAUGUAUGUUUGUUAAAGUGCACUUCAAUAAAAGUGCAAUCAGGCCAAGUGGACAGCCGGGUUCGGGUUAACAUCUCGGGUCACUAUGACAACUGACAUGGGUCAACAUGAACUCCUCUUUACUCACUAGGAUUAGGUCUGACAAACGUUGCUGCUCCUUGCCAACCUGUUGAAUCUAAAUGACUUUUUUUUUUUAAACGGUUGGAUUUUUCAAAGAUGAGCGUUUAAGACUGUGACACAUUGAUAUUUCAUAGAGAUAAUGUCUCAUCUCGUAUCUGAUAUUUCAGCUGCUAACAGUUCAUUCAUCAAUGUGUAGGUAUGUUUCCUAUGUGUCCAUGGAAAUUGAAAGUCCUGGGGCUUAUAUAAAAAACAAUGACCUUCAAAUAGCCAACAACAUACUAUCCACACUUCUACCCACUCUCUCCCCUACCCAUACUACAAUCCCUUCUCUACCCUACCCAUACUACAAUCCCUUCUCUCCCCUACCCAUACUACAAUCCCUUCUCUCCACUACCCACACUACAAUCCCUUCUCUCCCCUACCCACUCUCUCCCCUACCCAUACUACAACCC